RNAcentral lists this ribosomal RNA (460 nucleotides) under uncultured bacterium. Its description in RNAcentral is "partial 16S ribosomal RNA". It matches the Rfam family "Bacterial small subunit ribosomal RNA", at positions 338 to 795 of the family's 1533-position model. The record is from RNAcentral.
CCUACGGGUGGCAGCAGUGAGGAAUAUUGGUCAAUGGGCGAGAGCCUGAACCAGCCAAGUCGCGUGAGGGAAGACGGUCCUACGGAUUGUAAACCUCUUUUGUCAGGGAGCAAGGAGCGCCACGAGUGGUGCGGCGAGAGUACCUGAAGAAAAAGCAUCGGCUAACUCCGUGCCAGCAGCCGCGGUAAUACGGAGGAUGCGAGCGUUAUUCGGAUUUAUUGGGUUUAAAUGGUGCGCAGGCGGAGACGGCAAGUCAGCGGUAAACUUUCGGGGCUCAACAUCGCCGAGCCGUUGAAACUUCUCUUCGAGAGUGGGCGAGAAGUAUGCGGAAUGCGUGGUGUAGCGGUGAGAUGCAUAGAUAUCACGCAGAACUCCGAUUGCGAAGGCAGCAUACCGGCGCCCAACUGACGCUCAUGCACGAACGCGUGGGUAUCGAACAGGAUUAGAUACCCGAGUAGUC